This 504-nucleotide ribosomal RNA is filed under the name uncultured bacterium. RNAcentral's name for it is "partial 16S ribosomal RNA". It matches the Rfam family "Bacterial small subunit ribosomal RNA", at positions 30 to 523 of the family's 1533-position model. The record is from RNAcentral.
AUUGAACGCUGGCGGCAGGCCUAACACAUGCAAGUCGAACGGUAGCACAGAGAGCUUGCUCUCGGGUGACGAGUGGCGGACGGGUGAGUAAUGUCUGGGAAACUGCCCGAUGGAGGGGGAUAACUACUGGAAACGGUAGCUAAUACCGCAUAACGUCGCAAGACCAAAGUGGGGGACCUUCGGGCCUCACACCAUCGGAUGUGCCCAGAUGGGAUUAGCUAGUAGGUGGGGUAAUGGCUCACCUAGGUGACGAUCCCUAGCUGGUCUGAGAGGAUGACCAGCCACACUGGAACUGAGACACGGUCCAGACUCCUACGGGAGGCAGCAGUGGGGAAUAUUGCACAAUGGGCGCAAGCCUGAUGCAGCCAUGCCGCGUGUAUGAAGAAGGCCUUCGGGUUGUAAAGUACUUUCAGCGGGGAGGAAGGCGGUGGAGUUAAUAACUUCACCGAUUGACGUUACCCGCAGAAGAAGCACCGGCUAACUCCGUGCCAGCCGCCGCAGUAA